GUUUACGCUAGGCUCGUCCUCUGCUUGGCUCCUCCUCGUUCGCUGGAAGAGGAAGUAUGAUUUCACACUCGUACGUAGGCGGGUGACCACGUCCUCAAAAUAAUGGGAUCGUCGUUACGGACGAUACGACACCCAAGGGGAAGCGGUUAAGUUUGUCAUUACGAGGCGCAUUAUGCCGGCGCAUCCGCUUUCGCAGACACAGCUCCUCUCUCUCUCCCUCCCUCUCUUCCCCUCCCCGCAUUUCGAAAUUACGCGAAUAAUUAAACUGCGCAUCGCCACUUCCGCUGCGACGCGUUAUAAACUUGCCCGGCUGGAAACGAUCGUGCGUUCUCGAAUAAUAGGCUCGUUCUUUGAUGCACGAUAGAACGAAAAUUUGCUGUUUCAUGUCGUUUAUUGUUAUCGUCGAUGACGAAUUUUUCGGAAAAAUUGGGGACGAGAUAGAAGGAAGUUGAAAUUUGUAAAGGACAAGAGAAUAAUUAGCAUUUUAUUCUUUUUUAUCUUUCUCGACGAUAAAUUUAAACUUCUUAGUUUAAAACUAAUGAGUUUUAGAACGUGAAUGGAUUUUAAAUUUCUUUUUUUUUGUAUCGACUUGCAGUAGAACAAAAGAAAGAAAACUUUAAAAUUUUCAGGAAUCAAAAUGUGCUCUUUCCAUUGUGAAACAUGAAUAUAUUUUAAAUUUCAUUAAUAAACUUUGUUAUGUGACGAGUGACGUAAAUUGGAUCUCUGUGUAUAAAAAUUUUUAAACCAAUAUUUAAACGAAUGAUUUAUAAUUUAUAAUUAUAGGGAAAUCUAUAAAAUGUUGCAACGAAGAAUCGUAAUAUCCAUAAUUUUAUCCCCCAAAAAACUUCCAACUUUGUAAUCUUUACGAAUCGCACAAGAUCGAGCAUCGUGUUCCACAAUCCAAGUUAUACAUUACAGCAACCUGUGUAAUGAAAUUGAAGUGUAUAGACAGGUCCAGAUAACCUCGCAUUAAUCUCAACGAGAGAGAAAGAGAGGUUAGGGAACGUAGAGAGUAGCGAUUUCGAAUAUUUAUAUGGACCUAAUGCCUCACCGUACGACGAUCGAUAAUUCGAAAAUUCCCUUGUAUCGCGCGCACAACAGUUUAAGAACAAACCGAUAUUGUCAGACCAGGGGAUAAUUGGAGCGGUCGAUGCUGGUUUUAUCGACGGGUUAACCGUGAGCCGCGAGGUUUAAUGACUUGGCGUCUUGAUGUGACGAUAUUGGCUAAACUUUAUUGAUACUACCUACGAACUUAAUACAGAUUACCGUUACACGAGGUAAAGAUGGGAACGUUUUACCAACAUCGGUGAAAAUUCUUGGCGAAGGAUCGAUCCUGUAGAGAACAAUGUUUCGCCCGAUCGUGAUCGAGUGGAAAAUAAUAAGAAUAAUACGAUUGUGAAAAAAACGAUUACCGACGGUGCUAAUAGAAGAGAAUAAAUGGGAGAAAGUCGCGGUUAUCGAUUGAUGGAAUUGAAGAUUUUAAGUAAGAACGACGAUCUCUUUGUUCUUCGAUUGUAAUUGUAACGAUGUUGGAUUGAAUUGAAUCGCAGGUUUCAGAAUACUGUACACGGUAUCUCUAAAUACGAGGUUACAAUACCUGAUGUGUAAUGUUAGUACAUACUGUUUUAUGACGAAGGUGAUUCGCGCGAUAUUCAUUAUCCAACUGGAUACUAUUCCAUAAUAAUGGCCCGAUACAAUGGAAUCGCGUGUGGUAUGAAAUAUUAGCUCGUAUCACGUGAAAUUGCCGUUUUUGAAAUUAAAAACAAUAUAUUUUCGAAACUAUAAUCUUUAUUCGAUCAAAAUAUGAGCUAUUAGUUUUAAUGACGUUUUCUCAAUUGACGUAUUCCAUUUUUACAAAACUUCAUGGUUUUGAGAGUGAAUAAAUUCUUCGAAUGUUGCGAUUACAGCUUCUCGUCGAGUAUUUCAUUUUUUAAAAACAAAAAACAACUGAAACCCAUUGCAUCCAAAUAUCAUUGGAGCGGGUGUUGUUCGUUGGAUUAGCUUCUAUUUCGCCUUCCAAUUUAUUUUUGUUUAAUAUGGAUCUCGAUCUAGCUCGGGGCUCAUUUUCAAAAUUCUCAUUUCCACAUCUGAAUUUUUUAAACUGCCGCCGAAAACUAACUUAAUAUUUUGAUAUGCUUCGGCUGGCCCAAAUUAAACAGGAAUAAUAUUUUAUAAAUUCGUUCAAAAAACAGUCAAACCAAGAUACAAUACAAAAAAAGAACUUAUUUUACGCAAAGAAAAUAUAAGAGGAAUAAAAAUACAUUAAAACAAAUUAUAAGUUAAAUAAAAUUUAACAAGAUACGAUUAAUCGAUCAUUUAUUCUGAAAUUGGCAAUUUCACGUGGUAUAAUCACUUAAUAUUAAUAAAAUAUGCGUAAAACGCGUGUAAUUAAAUAUUCUCCACAAAAAAAAAAUAAAAAGAUCGCAUAUAUGUGAAUGGUAGAAAAUUCAGAAUGGAAAAUUAAUUUUCCGGAUUCAUAAUAUAUACACACAUAUAUACCUAUAUAUACACGCAUAUAUCUGUAUAUCCACGCGUAAACAGGCAAAGAUGACGUGAGUUUGUCCGCGAGGAGUGCAAUAUGGACGAAGAGGGGGGGAAGGGCACGAUAAAUAUUAUACGCGAUACCGGCAACUGUUUAUUUAAGCGUCGGUUAUUUGCGCAAAUGCUAUAAACAUGGCGGAGGUUGCGCUGGCUGAAAUCCACACGUCGCCAUCUAUAGAGAACAGAUGUGCGAGUGUGCUCCAUACGUGUGGCUACGUCUAAUUCGGCGACCAGGCGAAUAUCUUCCAGCUUGUUAUUCCUCGGUACAAAUACAAAUAAUACAAACCCGUGAGAGAAUAGAAUCGUUUCACCUUCCUCCUUUCGCGAAUGAUAUCGCGAAUGGAGAGUGGAAUCGGCCAUAUCGACCCUCGUCUACACCUUUUCCCGAAACGUGUAAUCUCUUUGUUGGAAUGAAUUGGGAUGGAGCGGUUGCAACGGCUACACGAAUAUACGAAAAGUAAAUAUUCGGUGAAGAAAAAUCGUGGAAAAUUUGAGAACUCUAGAAGAAGGAGAGUAUACACAAAAUUAUACACACUAAGGUGAAAACACAAUGGAACGGAGGAACAACGUGGAGCAAAUGGAGCGGAAACUGCAAUGCCCUCCAGUCUGAAUCAACCGGUACCCUCGUUAGCCACUCUAACUCCGUAAGUCCUCGAACCUCGGCCUUCUCUAGCCACGCUAUUUGUUUGAAUUUCACUCUUCAACCAUGUUUGUGCGUAUAUAUCCGUGUACAAAACGCACUUGUGCGCUACUAUAUUCAAUAUACUGCAGCGGUUUACGCGGUGUAUAGUUAAGGCGGUUCGCUAAAAACCGGUACACGGUUGGAUGCUCCUUUAAGGAUGCCUCGUAACGAGUCAACUAAACUGUGGUGUUGACUAGACUCCGGUGGAAGGGAUAGAGGCCGCGGAGCAUCGCGCGGUAAAGGGGGGUGUCCUUCCAAGUGUGUAAACACAGCCUCGCGAAUAUUACGAGUUGUCCGUUACGAGAUAUAUCUAUACAUGUAUUGUGUCGAACUUUGUGGAUCUUUCUAGACUUUCACCGACAGGCGUGAAAAUGUUAGUGUGCAAAAAUUUCGGCCGAGGCUCGAGUUUAUCGAGUUACCAGCAAUUUAAUUUUGCGCUUGUAGGUAGGCAACCAUAGAUGCGGAACUGUGCGCAGGGCCGUGCCGUAGUGGAUUGGGGCCCCCCGUUUACCGUUUCACGAUCAUUUUAUAAACUGCGAUCUUUUUGAAACGAAGUUAUCGAACGUCUCGUAGGAUUUUCUCGUGUGUAUCUAUUGAGAAGAAUGAGAUAUUAAAGUAUUGUUAAAGGCGUUGUAAGGUCGGUUAAUGUCACUUAACACGCGUCUCUUGUUUCUUCUUAUUUAUGGAUCCAUCGAAAAAGUUAUUUAUGGAUGGAAUAAUAUUGAUAAUCGAUAUUCGUUGGGAUUGUCAUUUAUCAUUGCGGGAAUGGAAUAGUAUUUGAUUGUACAGAAUGUAUCGUAAUAAUAUUACAAAUCGGCCCCUUUCGGAAAAGCAUUUUAUCGAUCCAGCUUAACGAUUUUUCCUUUUUUUUUUUUCACGAAAAUCUCGUUUCCUCGUAUCGAACAAACGAAAUUUUUUUGUAAACAAAAAACGCGUGCUACGUAAACACGCGAAAUUGUACGGCGAAAGUUUUCAACGGCGACGAUUAAAAGGGAUUUGCAUUUUAUAUCGGAUUUAAUACGCGAAAACUGCCGCUUCGACCUGCUAUCGUGGAAACGCGCGCAGCCACGUAAUUAAAAUUAAUUAUAGCGUUUCAUUAACACGAGCGAUAGCACAAUGCGCGAUUCCAAGCGCAUUAAUCGUAAUAACCCAACCGGUCCGGUCUUAUGUAGUUAUACGCCGUGUGAUGUAACGGUUAAUUCCGUUGGAAAAUUCUAUCGUUUGUCGUGCUUCUACGAUUACGUCAUGCCAUACGUUUUACUUUCUUUCUUUCCUUCUUUUUUAGCCACUUGACUUAACUUGGCAACUAGCCAAGCUU
This 4541-nucleotide long non-coding RNA is filed under the name Apis mellifera (honey bee). RNAcentral's name for it is "uncharacterized LOC102656786". Lineage: Eukaryota; Metazoa; Arthropoda; Insecta; Hymenoptera; Apidae. The record is from RNAcentral.